Molecule: ribosomal RNA, 463 nt
Filed under: Preussia sp. SL08070
Lineage: Eukaryota; Fungi; Ascomycota; Dothideomycetes; Pleosporales; Sporormiaceae
Description: eukaryotic LSU rRNA
Rfam family: 5.8S ribosomal RNA (bases 106-259)
Source: RNAcentral
CUUUUUGAGUACCUUUCGUUUCCUCGGCAGGCUCGCCUGCCAAUGGGGACCACAAAAAACACUUUGCAGUACCUGUAAUAGUCUGAACAAACAAACAAAAAUUAAAACUUUCAACAACGGAUCUCUUGGUUCUGGCAUCGAUGAAGAACGCAGCGAAAUGCGAUAAGUAGUGUGAAUUGCAGAAUUCAGUGAAUCAUCGAAUCUUUGAACGCACAUUGCGCCCUUUGGUAUUCCUUAGGGCAUGCCUGUUCGAGCGUCAUUUAAACCUUCAAGCUAAGCUUGGUGUUGGGUGACUGUCCGCUUCACUGCGGACUCGCCUCAAAAUUAUUGGCGGCCGGUACAUUGGCUUCGAGCGCAGCAGAAACGCGAACUCGGGCCCGUCGUAUUGGCUCCCAGAAGCUAUCUUCACAAUUUUGACCUCGGAUCAGGUAGGGAUACCCGCUGAACUUAAGCAUAUCAAUAA